RNAcentral lists this ribosomal RNA (240 nucleotides) under uncultured bacterium. RNAcentral's name for it is "partial 16S ribosomal RNA". It matches the Rfam family "Bacterial small subunit ribosomal RNA", at positions 94 to 334 of the family's 1533-position model. The record is from RNAcentral.
ACCGGCGCACGGGUGCGUAACGCGUAUGCAAUCUACCUUUUACAGGGGAAUAGCCCAGAGAAAUUUGGAUUAAUGCCCCAUAGUAUGUAUGAAUCGCAUGGUUUAUAUAUUAAAGUUCCAACGGUAAAAGAUGAGCAUGCGUCCCAUUAGUUAGUUGGUAAGGUAACGGCUUACCAAGACGAUGAUGGGUAGGGGUCCUGAGAGGGAGAUCCCCCACACUGGUACUGAGACACGGACCAG